This 514-nucleotide long non-coding RNA is filed under the name Homo sapiens (human). RNAcentral describes it as "long non-coding RNA NONHSAT229384". The record is from RNAcentral. Lineage: Eukaryota; Metazoa; Chordata; Mammalia; Primates; Hominidae.
GCGAGGGACGCGCGGGGCGGGUGCCGGCGUUAGAGCGAGAGGAAGUGGAAGGCGCCUCUUCGUUCUCUCUUCCGCGCUUCGCUGAGGGACUCACUCGCGCAUCACCCGCGGCUGCCGGUCGAGUGUCCCAGGCGCUCCGGGGCCGCGGUGACCCUCGCGGUGCGGACCGAGGAGGAAGCGCCGUGGGGGGCGGGGCGGCGCCGCACGAUCCGGCCUUCAGCUUCACGGACGUGGGCUGAGAACCCGCCCGCGCCGCGCUGAGCAGGGCCGAGGGAGCCGGCCAGGGCCCCAGAGGAGUCCGGAACGGAUUCCCGUCGCUACCGAGGUCUGCGCGUGUAAGGAGAGGACGUCGGAGAUUUGCCUCGAGGGGUGGGGUAUAGAUGACUGGAGAGGUCAGGCGCGGGUUGGUCAUCGCUGAGGCUGGGUGAUGGGUGGCCGGAUUCGUUAUACUGUUUUCUCCACUUUUCUGUAUGUUUGAUAUUUUUCAUAAUAAAGUUUGUAAAAGUAAAAACGG